GACGAACGCUGGCGGCGUGCUUAACACAUGCAAGUCGAACGGAAAGGCCCUGCUUUUGGGGGUUCCCGGGGGGCGAAAGGGGGAGGAACCAGGGAGUAACCCGCCCCUGACUUUUGGGUAACCUCCAGGAACCGGGGCUAAUAACCGAUAAGAGGCUCCUCCGGCUGGGGGGGGGUGGGAAGUUUCGGCGGUUGGGGAUGGACUCGCGGCUUAUCAGCUUGUUGGUGGGGUAGUGGCUUACCAAGGCUUUGACGGGUAGCCGGCCUGAGAGGGUGACCGGCCACAUUGGGACUGAGAUACGGCCCAGACUCCUACGGGAGGCAGCAGUGGGGAAUAUUGCACAAUGGGCGGAAGCCUGAUGCAGCAACGCCGCGUGCGGGAUGACGGCCUUCGGGUUGUAAACCGCUUUCGCCUGUGACGAAGCGUGAGUGACGGUAAUGGGUAAAGAAGCACCGGCUAACUACGUG
RNAcentral lists this ribosomal RNA (467 nucleotides) under uncultured bacterium. RNAcentral describes it as "partial 16S ribosomal RNA". It matches the Rfam family "Bacterial small subunit ribosomal RNA", at positions 28 to 507 of the family's 1533-position model. The record is from RNAcentral.